This 458-nucleotide ribosomal RNA is filed under the name uncultured bacterium. Its description in RNAcentral is "partial 16S ribosomal RNA". It matches the Rfam family "Bacterial small subunit ribosomal RNA", at positions 338 to 795 of the family's 1533-position model. The record is from RNAcentral.
CCUACGGGAGGCAGCCGUGAGGAAUAUUGGUCAAUGGGCGAGAGCCUGAACCAGCCAAGUCGCGUGAGGGAGUACUGCCCUAUGGGUUGUAAACCUCUUUUGUCGGGGAGCAAAAGCCGGACGUGUCCGGCUGUGAGAGUACCCGAAGAAAAAGCAUCGGCUAACUCCGUUCCAGCAGCCGCGGUAAUACGGAGGAUGCGAGCGUUAGCCGGAUUUAUUGGGUUUAAAGGGUGCGCAGGCGGAUUUUUACGUCAGCGGUAAAAUCGUGGGGCUCAACCCCAUCCAGCCGUUGAAACUGGGGAUCUAGAGUGUGCGAGAGGUAUGCGGAAUGCGUGGUGUAGCGGUGAAAUGCAUAGAUAUCACGCAGAACCCCGAUUGCGAAGGCAGCAUACCGGUGCACAACUGACGCUCAGGCACGAAAGCGUGGGUAUCGAACAGGAUUAGAUACCCGUGUAGUC